Molecule: ribosomal RNA, 396 nt
Filed under: uncultured bacterium
Lineage: Bacteria
Description: partial 16S ribosomal RNA
Rfam family: Bacterial small subunit ribosomal RNA
Source: RNAcentral
AUACGGAGGGUGCAAGCGUUAAUCGGAAUUACUGGGCGUAAAGCGCACGCAGGCGGUCUGUCAAGUCGGAUGUGAAAUCCCCGGGCUCAACCUGGGAACUGCAUUCGAAACUGGCAGGCUAGAGUCUUGUAGAGGGGGGUAGAAUUCCAGGUGUAGCGGUGAAAUGCGUAGAGAUCUGGAGGAAUACCGGUGGCGAAGGCGGCCCCCUGGACAAAGACUGACGCUCAGGUGCGAAAGCGUGGGGAGCAAACAGGAUUAGAUACCCUGGUAGUCCACGCCGUAAACGAUGUCGACUUGGAGGUUGUGCCCUUGAGGCGUGGCUUCCGGAGCUAACGCGUUAAGUCGACCGCCUGGGGAGUACAGCCGCAAGGUUAAAACUCAAAGGAAUUGACGGGG